RNAcentral lists this long non-coding RNA (332 nucleotides) under Zostera marina. Its description in RNAcentral is "long non-coding RNA (ZMAR_LNC001840)". Lineage: Eukaryota; Viridiplantae; Streptophyta; Magnoliopsida; Alismatales; Zosteraceae. The record is from RNAcentral.
UGAAUAAGGUUGUUUUCAUUUCAAUUGGAUGUCUCCUCGAUCAUGCACAACUUGUUAAAAAGUCACAAAAGAUUUCUAUUAUUUUUAAAUCGUCAAAAGCAGUCAUAUACGAAAGAGCAUACGAUGCAAUCAUCUGGAAGCUCCAAGUAAUCAAGAAGAUGAAGGAUUUCAAACGUAGAAUGUUGGUAGAAAUUCUCAAUCAUGUUAUCGCAAAGAUCAAAUUUUGCAAAAGAAUUUCGCUCUCUGUCAAAUUUGAAAAGAAAGUUAUGAUUAAUGGAGAGCAUGCCUUCGAGUCUGAAAAUGAUGAAAUGAUGCAAAUGGCCACAAAUACC